UACGGAGGAUGCAAGCGUUAUCCGGAAUGAUUGGGCGUAAAGCGUCCGCAGGUGGCUAUGUAAGUCUGCUGUUAAAGAGUGAGGCUCAACCUCAUAAAAGCAGUGGAAACUACAUGGCUAGAGUGCGUUCGGGGCAGAGGGAAUUCCUGGUGUAGCGGUGAAAUGCGUAGAGAUCGGGAAGAACAUCGGUGGCGAAAGCGCUCUACUGGACCGCAACUGACACUCAGGGACGAAAGCUAGGGGAGCGAAUGGG
This 253-nucleotide ribosomal RNA is filed under the name uncultured bacterium. Its description in RNAcentral is "partial 16S ribosomal RNA". It matches the Rfam family "Bacterial small subunit ribosomal RNA", at positions 524 to 776 of the family's 1533-position model. The record is from RNAcentral.